GGGGAAUAUUGCACAAUGGGGGAAACCCUGAUGCAGCGACGCCGCGUGAGUGAAGAAGUAUUUCGGUAUGUAAAGCUCUAUCAGCAGGGAAGAAAAUGACGGUACCUGAGUAAGAAGCCCCGGCUAACUAC
This 131-nucleotide ribosomal RNA is filed under the name uncultured bacterium. RNAcentral describes it as "partial 16S ribosomal RNA". It matches the Rfam family "Bacterial small subunit ribosomal RNA", at positions 356 to 504 of the family's 1533-position model. The record is from RNAcentral.